AUGCGAACCAAAGUGCCUAUUCAUUUGAAUAUGCUUUUCUUUGCUCUAAAAAUGCAGAGGAAUAAGGACUGGGCAAGACCGGUGCCAGCCGCCGCGGUAAUCCCGGCAGUUCAAGUCGCAUCCACUAUUAUUGGGUCUAAAACAUCCGUAGCUUGUAGUUUAAGUCUCCUGUGAAAUCUUGCUUCUCAGGGGCAAGGCUUGCAGGAGAUACUGGAUUGCUAGAGAUCGGUAGACGUAAAGAGUACACUGGAGGUAGUGGUAAAAUACGUUAAUCUUCGGUGGACUAACAAUCAGCGAAGGCACUUUACGAGGACGAAUCUGACAGUGAGGGAUGAAGGCCAAGGGCGCAAAACGGAUUAGAUACCCGUGUAGUCUUGGCAGUAAACACUGCUCACUAAACAUUGGGCCCUCUUCGGGAGGAUUCAGUGCUGAAGCGAAGGCAAAGAGUGAGCUACCUGGGAAGUAUAGUCGCAAGAUCGAAACUUAAAGGAAUUGGCGGGGAGACAUACAACGAGUGACGCGUACGGUUCAAUUAGAUUCUACACCGUGAACCUCACCAGGAGCGACAGCAGGAUGAAGGUCAGUCUGAAGGGCUUACCUGACACGCUGAGCGGAGAUGCAUGGCCGACGUCAGCCUGUGCUGUGAAGUGACUUGUUAAAUCAAGUAACAGGCGAGACCCGCGUUCAUAAUUACUACAGAAAUGAGUACAUUAUGGAGACUGCCUUGGCAACAAGGAGGAAGGUGCGGGCUACGUUAGGUGAGUACGUCCCUAAUCCCCUGGGCUACACGCGCGCGGCAAUGAUAUGCUCAAUGAGAUGCGACUCCGAAAGGAGAAGCUAAUCCCCUAACGCAUAUCUCAGUUCAGAUUGAGGGCUGCAACCCGCCCUCAUGACGUUGGAAUUCGUAGUAAUCGGAUAUUAGCACUGUCCGGCGAAUAUGUCCCUG
RNAcentral lists this ribosomal RNA (946 nucleotides) under uncultured euryarchaeote. RNAcentral describes it as "bacterial SSU rRNA". It matches the Rfam family "Archaeal small subunit ribosomal RNA", at positions 373 to 1332 of the family's 1478-position model. Lineage: Archaea; Methanobacteriati; Methanobacteriota. The record is from RNAcentral.